This 253-nucleotide ribosomal RNA is filed under the name uncultured bacterium. RNAcentral's name for it is "partial 16S ribosomal RNA". It matches the Rfam family "Bacterial small subunit ribosomal RNA", at positions 524 to 776 of the family's 1533-position model. The record is from RNAcentral.
UACGGAGGGGGCUAGCGUUGUUCGGAAUUACUGGGCGUAAAGCGCGCGUAGGCGGCCCUGCAAGUCGGGGGUGAAAGCCCGAGGCUCAACCUCGGAACUGCCUUCGAUACUGCGGGUCUCGAGUCCGGGAGAGGUGAGUGGAAUUCCUAGUGUAGAGGUGAAAUUCGUAGAUAUUAGGAAGAACACCAGUGGCGAAGGCGACUUACUGGACAACCGUUGACGCUGAGGUGCGAAGGCGUGGGGAGCAAACAGG